This 68-nucleotide ribosomal RNA is filed under the name Methylobacterium sp. 2A. RNAcentral's name for it is "partial 23S ribosomal RNA". The record is from RNAcentral. Lineage: Bacteria; Pseudomonadati; Pseudomonadota; Alphaproteobacteria; Hyphomicrobiales; Methylobacteriaceae.
GUGCAAGCGCGGCGACGCGUUGAGCCGACCGGUACUAAUCGCCCGACAGGCUUGAUCGCUCCCGUGAU